CUCCAAGCAGAAGAAGGCAUUGCGAACAAUAGGGUACUGUAAAGGCAAAAGAGUGGUGGUAUUCAAUCCGGGUGAACAGAGUACACUCUGAGAUGGAUCCUGCCAGACAGAAGUCAUGAGUGGUAUUCAGCCUGCCAGGUGGAAACAAGGUCUCUUCUCGCUCCAGAUGCAUUUUAGGAGUGAUUUCUCUAGAUCAAUGAGGUAUGUUGAUGAUAUUUUUAUUGGGAUUGCAUUGAAUCUGUAUAACAGUUUUGGGAGAAUGGCCAUUUUCACAAUGUUUGUUCUUCUUAUCCAUGAGCAAGGGAUGUCUUUCUAUUUUCUGGAUCAUCUUCAAUUUCUUUUUUCAGUGUAUUACAAUUUUCCCUGUAUAGUUCUUUCACUGCUUUCAUAAGAGUAGGUCCUAAAUAUUUCAUUUUUUUGGUUGCUAGUGUGAAGGGUUUGGCUUAUCUUAUUUCUCUCUGUGUGACUUUGUUGUUAGUGUAUAAGAAUGCUAUUUAUUUUGAGUAUUGAUUUUGUAUUCAGCUACAUUACUGAUUUUAUUUAUUAUAUCUAAGAGUCUUUCAAUGGAGUUUAGAGAGUCUUCUAUGUAGAGUACCAUGUCAUCUGCAAAUAACAAUAAUGUAACUUCUUCUUUUACGAUCUUUACUCCUUUUUUUCUCUCUUGUGUCUAAUUCCUAUGGCUAGUAUUUCGAGUACUACAUUAAAUAGGAUUGAGGAUACAGGAUAUCCUUGUCUUGUGCCUGAUUUUAAAGUAAAGGCCUUCAAUUUUUAGCCAUUAAUAUGAUACUGACUGUUGGUUUGUCAUAGAUGGCUUUUAUUAUAUUGAGUUUGAGACCAUCUAUUGCAAUUUUCUGUAAAGUUCUUAUCGUGAAUGAAUAGUGGACUUUAUCUAAAAUUUUUUCUGCAUCUAUAGAAAUGAUCAUGUGAUUCUUACGUUUGGCUUUAUUGGUAUGGUGGAUUACAUUUAUUGAUUUACAUAUGUUAAACCAUCCCUGCAUGCCUGGGAUGAAUCCCACUUGGUCAUGGUGUAAAAUCUUCUUGAUGAUUUGCUGCAUCCUAUUUGCCAAUAUUUUAUUGAUGAUUUUUGCAUCUGUGUUCAUUAGGGAUAUUGGUCUAUAGUUCUCUUUUUUAGUUGGGUCUUUCUCAGAUUUUGUUAGCAAAGUAAUCUUUGCUUCCAGGAAUGACUUAGGAAGGACUGCUUCCCUUUCAAUUUCAUGGAAGAGUUUGAAUAAUGUCAGCAUUAGGACUUCUUUAUAUUUCUGUAGAAUUCUGCAGUGAAUCCGUCUGGGUCUGGGCUCUCUUUUGUAGGUAAGUACUUAAUUAAAUUUUCAAUUUAAUUAAUAGAAAUUGGGUUAUUCAGCAGUUUUACAUCCUCUUGACCUACCUUUGGUACUUCCUAAGUUUCUAGGAAUCUGUCUAUUUCUUGUGUGUUAUCAAACCUUUGAGAGUAGAAGUUUUCAAAAUAGCUGUUGACGAUCUUCUGUAUUUCUAUAGAGUCUGAAGUGAGUUCACCUUUUUUCAUUUCUUAUUGCAUAAAUUUGAGCUUUUUCACCUUUUUAAAAUAAGGUUGACUAGGGGCUUAUCAAUUUUAUUUAUUCUUUAAAAAAACCAACUCUUUGAUUCAUUGACUCUUUGGAUUGGAUUUUUAGUCUCUAUUGCAUUGAUUUCUGCUCUGAUUUUUAUAAUUUCUUUUCUUCUUUUGGCUUUGGGCUUGACUUGCUCUUCUUUUUCUAGCUGUUGAAGUGUAACAUGAGGUUAUUUACUUGUGUUCAUUCUGUUUUCCUGAUGUGGGAACUUAGUGCAAUAAAUUUUUCUCUGAGGACGGCUUUUAUUGUAUCCCACAGUUUCCAGUAAGUUGUAUCUGUAUUUUCAUUUUCUUGUAGAUAUUGUUUAAUUUCUUCUUUAAUUUCCCCUGUUGACUCACUGAUUACUCAAGAGUGUGUUAUUCAGUUUCCAUGUGUUUGUGGCAUUUUUGCAGUAUCUUUUAUUAUUAAUUUCUAAUUUCAUAGCAGUAUGAUCCGAUAACAUGCAAAGAAUAAUUUCAACUCUUUUGUAUUUAUUUAAAUAUGUUCUUUGAGAUAAUAUAUGGUCUGUUUUAGAGAAUGACACUUGUACUGCUGAGAAGAAUGUGUAUUCUGAUGUUGGAUGGAAUACCCUGUAUAUGUCUAACAAGUCCAUUUGUUCACGUGUGUGAUUCUAUUUUGUUAUUUCUGCACUGAUUUUCUGUCUGACUGAUUUGUCCCUUCAUGCCAAUGAUGUGUUAAGGCCUCCUGUCACAAUUGUGUUACUGAUAAUUAGAUUUUUCAUUUCUGUUACUACUUGUUUUAUAUAACUGGGUGCUCUGGAAUUUGGGCAUAUAUAUUUAAGAUAGUUAUCUCUUCCUCUUGAAGUUUUCCCUUAAUGAGUAUGUAAUGAUCUUCUUUGUCUCUUCUGAUCAUUAUUGGUUUAAAGUUCACAUUGUCUGCAAACAUAAUGGCUACACCUGCUUUUUUUGGGGUUCCUGUUGUGUGAAGUAUUGUUUUCCAUCCUUUGAUGACUUUCAUCUGUGAGUAUCCUUCUGGGUUAGAUGGGUUUCUUGUAGUCAGCAUAUGGUUGAAUUUUGUUUCUUGAUCCAUUCUGCCAGUCUGUUUCUUUUAAUUGAUGCAUUGAGACCAUUUACAUUAAUGAUUAUAACUGUUAUAUGUUGGUUUAUUGUUGACAUGUUAUUUUUCUGCUGUUGCAUCUUUAUCUUUCUGUUCUGUUUAAAUAUCUGCUUUGCUUAGUGGUUUUUUCCUAAGUGUAUCUAAACUGUCUUUCAAUAUUUUUUGCAGGGUUGGCUUGGUGAUCAUGAAGUUUUUUAGCUGUUCUUUGUCAUGGAAGAUCUUUUUUCUCUAUUGAUUUUGAAGGAUGGUUUUUCAGGGUACAUUAGUCUAGGUUGGAAAUCAUUUUCCUUUAGGAUCUGGAAUUCUUCACUCCAUGCUCUUCUUGACUUGCUUGUGCUGAGAAGUCUGCUGUGAUUCUGAUAGGUUUUCCUUUAUAAGUGAUCUGUCUUUUCUCUCUGACAGCUUUUAAUAAUCUAUUCUUGUGUUGGAUUUCUGGGAUGGUGAUUAUUAUAUGUCUGUGUGUAGUUUUAUUUUGUUUAUGACUAUUUGGAGUUUUAUAUGCUUCACUGAUCCUGAUAUUGGUUUCCGAUCUCAUGUUUGGGAAAUUUUCAGCUAUUCUUCUCUAAAUAUCCUCUUGACAUCCUUUAUUUCAUCCUCUUCUUUUUCAUUAAACCCUGUCAAUCUUAUGUUGUUAUUCUUUGCAUCAUCUUGCAGUUGUUGAAUAUUAUUUCUUGAUUCUUUGUUAUUUUUAGAAGAUCUUUCCUUUUCCAUUCACUAGCUGCAAUCUUGUCUUCAAGGUCUAAAAUUCUAUCUUCACUUUCAUUGAGGCAGUUUUACAGCUUUCAGUGGAAUCUUUGAUUUCCUGUAUAUCUCUGUGCAUCUGCUCUAUGUAUUCUCUUUGUUCCUAAUAUUGCUCAUCUAGGGAUUCUAUCUUUUUGUUUUGUUCCUCCAAUUUUUUUAAUGUGUUUUUUUUAGAUAUAUUCAGCAUUUCUUUAAUUUCUUUUAUCAUUUCUUCUUUUACCUGGGAUGUUAUUUCUAGUUUGAAUUCCUUUAAAGCUUCCUGGAUUUGCUGGUUUAUUUUCGUUGCUAUUAUGUCUGAUAUUUGAGGUGUAUGGCAUAUAUUUUCUUCUAUAUAUAUCGCUCCUAAGGUUUCUUUCGAUGGGCUGGAGGUUUGAGAUUGUAAUUUGGUCUUUCAUUUUGUCCUUUUCCUAUAUUUCUGUGUUUCAAGUGUUUCAAGUGUUAUUCUAAGGCUUCCUCAGGGUCUAUCGGAAAUCCUCUUCUAUGCUCUCAGCUCCUGGGACUCUGGCAUCCAGUUCCCCCAGGCCGCCUGGCCUCUGGAACUGGUGGCACUUACCUGCUUGCUUAAAACUCCACAGUCCUCCAAGCACACAGGGAGGUGGAUGCAGGUGCCCCAGACCCACCUAGCUGUUCCCAUGUACCUGGAAGCUGUGAGGGUCUCAAACAAGCUGGGCCCCAGGGAAAGUGGGUGUCCACCUGCUUGCUUAGAACUCCAGUUCAAGAGUUUUAAAGCUGCAAAAUGACCUUUGAGAAACAUAAUUUCUCCCUUGACAUGAGUUAAAUGCAGGAUAUUUUGUCUUUGAUUUGUUGCUAUUUUAAAGUGAGAAUUACAGGGACUUUGGAUAAGGGUAUAGUGCUUCUUUACACGUGGGAGGUCAUUGAAUAAUGUAUUUUGGGUAGCAGGAAGUUUAUGAAGACCAUUUCCAAAGUUUCCCAUAAUAACCUCAGUCUCCUGGAAUUCAUGCCUUUAACUGCCUCCUCUCCACCCAUGAAUAUGCAUAACCUUUAUCACUAACACGAUAUUGUGGAAAUGAUAAUAUAUUCACAAGUAAUCUAGAAACAUAAAUAGACUUAUUUGAGGGUAUAUGAUUUCCCUUAUGUUUUCAGGCAUUAAUUUUAGAGUAAGCUUAUUUAUCCCAGUCACCAAAAAUGAUUUGAUUUAGAUAGGAGUCAUACUUGUGGAAACUUACUAAUUCAUUCUCUUUUUAAAAGCAUGAUUAUUUCAAAAGCGAGAAAUUGUAACAAAAUAAACUAUUAGAAAGCAUCAUUCGCUAAUUGAGAUUUAGAUUUGGGUCCAUAGAAAAAAGCAAUGUGUCAUGGGAGGAAUAAUACUUGCAGGCAGUUUCAGAAUUGGAUUUCACAUAUGCCACUUACCUCUGGGUAACCUUACACAUGUCUCCUGACUACUCUAAAUCCUUGUUUUGUCUUUUGGGAUGAGACAUUGUUUACUCUCUGACAUAUUGGGGAAUGUGUAUGAGACAGAUUGAGAAACACUCAAGAACUAGACAACUGUUAUUCUUAUGCUACUGGAGUUCGAGAAGUCCUUCCUAUGCCUAUGUCUUCAAGUACAAAGACUUGUUUUCAUGUUUUCUUCUCAGAGAUUUAUAAUUGUAGCCCUUGAAUUUAUUUUAUGUUAGCUUUAAUUAUAUAAUGUGAGUCACAGGUCCGACUUAAGUAUUUUGAAUGUAGAUACUAGUUGUACCAAAUCUAUAUACUUGAAGGGAAUAUUAUUUCAUCUCCUGAAUGUUCUCAGUAUCCUUGCCAAAGACCAACUGACAGGCAUAUUUACUUAUGGAAUUUUAAUUUUUAACUUUAUUAUUUAUUUUAAAAGUUCUAUGUGUAUGAGGUAUAGUGUGAUAAUUUGAUACAAAUGUAUGAUGUCUAAUGAUCAAAUCAGGAUGGAUUAUGAAUUUUCAUUUCUAGUCCAUUAACCUAUAUAUUGAUCUGUGCUUAUGACACGGUCUUGACUGCUAUGAUUUUAUAGUAAGUUUUUAAAUAAAAAUGUGCAAGUUUCUAA
This is a long non-coding RNA of Cavia porcellus (domestic guinea pig), 5397 nucleotides long. RefSeq lists it as uncharacterized. The transcript is spliced from 3 exons. The record is from RefSeq and is a predicted model, not a curated record. NCBI's taxonomy places the organism in Eukaryota, Metazoa, Chordata, Mammalia, Rodentia, Caviidae.